Penaeus monodon (black tiger shrimp) is the source of this 201-nucleotide long non-coding RNA. RefSeq lists it as uncharacterized. The record is from RefSeq and is a predicted model, not a curated record. Lineage: Eukaryota; Metazoa; Arthropoda; Malacostraca; Decapoda; Penaeidae. The transcript has 2 exons.
AAACAACUUUCUCUUGGGUUGUGCUUGCACCCGGCCUCACUGGACGCAUUCUUGGUGUUUUGAUUGAGUCUACGAGAGCAAGAGGUGUCCGUGGGUGGAGCCCUUUCUUCACACCGUCAAAGUGGCGAUGCUCCGUGAAGCGGGAUAAAAGGCAUAAGGACCAGGAUAGGUGGACCCUGUUUACUCCAUAAAACAAGCAAA